CCGGCGGGCGGCGGCGGCCCGGGCGGGGGUCCUCCUGUGCUGUAGUCCGACAUGGCGCGGCGGGGCCGGGCCUGGCGCGGAGGCUGAAGCUGAGGAGGAGGCGGCGGCGGCGGCGGCUCAACGCGGGAACAAGGCCUCGCUCCACACGGCCGCGGAGCACUCUGGGAACCCAGCGGCUGGGAAGACGACGAGGGGGGAGAGGGACGCCCCCUCCCGCCGCCGGCGUGACGGACGGCGCAGCCAGGCCAAUGGGAGGCGGCCGCCGCUCCUGGGACACCAAUCGCGGGCUCCGGAGGCGAGCGGCCAAUCGGAGUGCCGCGAGAGGCAGUGGGCGGGAGGCGCCGCGUGACCGACAGCUCUCGUAGGCAGUGGGCUGCCGGCUGCCGGUCCUGGGCGGGCAAAUCGAGGAGACCCGAAAGGGCAGGAGGCCCAAUGAAGCGGGAGUUCCAGAACUACGGGGCGACUUCAGAGCCGGAUUGACGGCUCCAGAGAGUCAAGUGGACGGGAAGGAGGGGACUGACGAAAGGCCCCUUUCAACAGGCUGGGCGGGCGCCAGCUGAAGAAGCUGAAGCUCAAAAGUGCACAGAGCUGAGUUUCAAACCCAGAGCCAUCCGACCCCUUGGCCCGUGUAUGAUCUUGAGCCAGGGUUCAGAAGCUCAAGUGCUGACGGAGGUCGGGAGGCUAACGGAAGCGAUGUGGACUGAGUGGAGGCUGUGGCCGCUUACCCCUAGCGGCAGCCAGACAUCAUGCCAUGGCAAUGCAGAGCCCAGGUGGCCAGAUUUGCCAGUUUUCCAAGAGGAGCCAGACGUUGGGAUUUGUAUGAAAUGCCCCGACAUCAAAAUACUGGCCACUCCACAAUUGCACACCAAGUGCAGUAGGCAGGAUUCUAAGGUGGUCCUCAUGAGGUUCCCACCCCCUGAUGUGUAUGCCCCCCCUGCCCCCCCCCCGCCCUUGAUAAUGUGCUAGACUUGUAAAUAGGAUUGGGUAUCACUCCCCUUGACAAGUUACAUGACAUGAUGAAAGUGAAGGGAUUUUGCAGAUGUAAUGGAGGUCCUUAAGCAGUUGGCUUUAAGUGAAACGACACAAAUGGUGCUGGGUGGGCCUGACCAAAUCAGGUGAGCCUUUUAAAAGAGUCUGCUGCCAGAGACAGAAGAAAUCAGAGAGAUUUGGGAGCAUCCCAGACACUCUUCAGUUCGUCUUAAACAAGCGGGCUGUUGUGGAGAGGACCACAUGGCAGGGAACAGCGGGUGGCCUCUAGGAGCUGAGGACCUCAGUCCUACAACCAUAAGAAACUGAAUCCUGCCGGGGUGCUGGGUA
Long non-coding RNA from Panthera uncia (snow leopard), 1317 nucleotides. RefSeq lists it as uncharacterized. The record is from RefSeq and is a predicted model, not a curated record. NCBI's taxonomy places the organism in Eukaryota, Metazoa, Chordata, Mammalia, Carnivora, Felidae. The transcript is spliced from 2 exons.